GAUGAACGCUGGCGGCGUGCCUAAUACAUGCAAGUCGAGCGAACAGACGAGGAGCUUGCUCCUCUGACGUUAGCGGCGGACGGGUGAGUAACACGUGGAUAACCUACCUAUAAGACUGGGAUAACUUCGGGAAACCGGAGCUACUACCGGAUAAUAUAUUGAACCGCAUGGUUCAAUAGUGAAAGACGGUUUUGCUGUCACUUAUAGAUGGAUCCGCGCCGCAUUAGCUAGUUGGUAAGGUAACGGCUUACCAAGGCAACGAUGCGUAGCCGACCUGAGAGGGUGAUCGGCCACACUGGAACUGAGACACGGUCCAGACGCCUACGGGAGGAAGCAGUAGGGAAUCUUCCGCAAUGGGCGAAAGCCUGACGGAGCAACGCCGCGUGAGUGAUGAAGGUCUUCGGAUCGUAAAACUCUGUUAUUAGGGAAGAACAAAUGUGUAAGUAACUAUGCACGUCUUGACGGUACCUAAUCAGAAAGCCACGGCUAACUACGUG
Molecule: ribosomal RNA, 497 nt
Filed under: uncultured bacterium
Lineage: Bacteria
Description: partial 16S ribosomal RNA
Rfam family: Bacterial small subunit ribosomal RNA
Source: RNAcentral